This 858-nucleotide ribosomal RNA is filed under the name Salmonella enterica. Its description in RNAcentral is "partial 23S ribosomal RNA". It matches the Rfam family "Bacterial large subunit ribosomal RNA", at positions 329 to 1191 of the family's 2925-position model. Lineage: Bacteria; Pseudomonadati; Pseudomonadota; Gammaproteobacteria; Enterobacterales; Enterobacteriaceae. The record is from RNAcentral.
UUAGUGGAAGCGUCUGGAAAGGCGCGCGAUACAGGGUGACAGCCCCGUACACAAAAGCGCAUGUGCUGUGAGCUCGAUGAGUAGGGCGGGACACGUGGUAUCCUGUCUGAAUAUGGGGGGACCAUCCUCCAAGGCUAAAUACUCCUGACUGACCGAUAGUGAACCAGUACCGUGAGGGAAAGGCGAAAAGAACCCCGGCGAGGGGAGUGAAAAAGAACCUGAAACCGUGUACGUACAAGCAGUGGGAGCACCCUUUGGGGUGUGACUGCGUACCUUUUGUAUAAUGGGUCAGCGACUUAUAUUCUGUAGCAAGGUUAACCGAAUAGGGGAGCCGGAGGGAAACCGAGUCUUAAUUGGGCGUUAAGUUGCAGGGUAUAGACCCGAAACCCGGUGAUCUAGCCAUGGGCAGGUUGAAGGUUGGGUAACACUAACUGGAGGACCGAACCGACUAAUGUUGAAAAAUUAGCGGAUGACCUGUGGCUGGGGGUGAAAGGCCAAUCAAACCGGGAGAUAGCUGGUUCUCCCCGAAAGCUAUUUAGGUAGCGCCUCGUGAAUUCAUCUCCGGGGGUAGAGCACUGUUUCGGCUAGGGGGCCAUCCCGGCUUACCAACCCGAUGCAAACUGCGAAUACCGGAGAAUGUUAUCACGGGAGACACACGGCGGGUGCUAACGUCCGUCGUGAAGAGGGAAACAACCCAGACCGCCAGCUAAGGUCCCAAAGUCAUGGUUAAGUGGGAAACGAUGUGGGAAGGCCCAGACAGCCAGGAUGUUGGCUUAGAAGCAGCCAUCAUUUAAAGAAAGCGUAAUAGCUCACUGGUCGAGUCGGCCUGCGCGGAAGAUGUAACGGGGCUAAACCAUG